Drosophila ficusphila is the source of this 485-nucleotide long non-coding RNA. RefSeq lists it as uncharacterized. Lineage: Eukaryota; Metazoa; Arthropoda; Insecta; Diptera; Drosophilidae. The record is from RefSeq and is a predicted model, not a curated record. The transcript has 2 exons.
UAGCCCCGAUUGGAGGAUUGCCGGAAAAUUACAAUUUCCUAUUGAGUUAAGAUUCUUAGUAAAAGAAUAAGUUGUAACUCACAAAAUCAGAGCACUCGAUCGACAAAAAGUAGUUCGACGUGGAACUGCAUAUUGUCUAUCGGAACUCCAAGUAUAAGGGAUGAUGGAUUAGCUGUUAUCGGUGCCUUGCUGAAAAUCGUUAAAGGAAAGAAGCGGUCAUUAUCGGCAUUAUACCAAGUCAUUAAUGCAGUCGCAAAGGUUCCAGUUAAGGGGGCGAAGAGGUCUAUUCCGGGCAGCUUUACUUUGAGAUGAUGAGAUGCUGGGAGGCGUGAACCCGAUAAUUUCUACACCUACCAGGGGUCGCUAACCACUUCCCUUUUCUAUGAGGCGGUAACUUUGACUGUAUUGGUAAAGAAUGUUUGCAAUUUAUACAGCCAUCAUGAUCACAAACUAAGCAACAAUAAAAUGGCAGAAUCGGAAAGCAA